AUUGAACGCUGGCGGCAUGCCUUACACAUGCAAGUCGAACGGUAACAGGUUAAGCUGACGAGUGGCGAACGGGUGAGUAAUAUAUCGGAACGUGCCCAGUCGUGGGGGAUAACGUAGCGAAAGCUACGCUAAUACCGCAUACGAUCUACGGAUGAAAGCGGGGGAUCGCAAGACCUCGCGCGAUUGGAGCGGCCGAUAUCAGGUUAGGUUGUUGGUGAGGUAAAAGCUCACCAAGCCUGCGAUCUGUAGCUGGUCUGAGAGGACGACCAGCCACACUGGAACUGAGACACGGUCCAGACUCCUACGGGAGGCAGCAGUGGGGAAUUUUGGACAAUGGACGAAAGUCUGAUCCAGCAAUGCCGCGUGCAGGACGAAGGCCUUCGGGUUGUAAACUGCUUUUGUACGGAACGAAACGGUGAGCUCUAAUACAGUUUGCUAAUGACGGUACCGUAAGAAUAAGCACCGGCUAACUACGUGCCAGCCGCCGCGGUAA
This 493-nucleotide ribosomal RNA is filed under the name uncultured bacterium. RNAcentral describes it as "partial 16S ribosomal RNA". It matches the Rfam family "Bacterial small subunit ribosomal RNA", at positions 30 to 523 of the family's 1533-position model. The record is from RNAcentral.